UAGUUGUCCACCAUCAUUUUUGACAAAAUAGGACUCUAAGAUGAUUGCCUUUUGAUUCCUUUAAGAGCUUAGAAUCUAUUGCUGUUUAGUUUUAAUCAAAACAAGCAUCAGGUACAAAUUACUUAGGUUGUCAGGUCCAUGCUAGUGGAGAGAGGUGGGGGAAUAUGCUAUGGCGAACGUUGACAAGAGUGGUACAUGACUGUUACUCUAAGGUCGGCAAUUGUGCCUCAGCACCUGCAACUUCAGCUGCUGUGGCUUCAUUCUACCAAUAAAGAUAUAACCAGAGUAGCUUGACAUUUUUUCGAUGGAGAGGAAUUCUGGAGAUUCUCACACACACAGUAGGUAAAUCAUUGGCUUUUCAUCUAUGGGAUGUGGCCCUAUAAAUUAUUUGCAUCCAAUGAUUUGAAGCUUAAACUUGGAGAAACAUACCCUCAAGA
Molecule: long non-coding RNA, 437 nt
Organism: Juglans microcarpa x Juglans regia
Lineage: Eukaryota; Viridiplantae; Streptophyta; Magnoliopsida; Fagales; Juglandaceae
Exons: 2
Source: RefSeq, a predicted model, not a curated record